This 253-nucleotide ribosomal RNA is filed under the name uncultured bacterium. RNAcentral's name for it is "partial 16S ribosomal RNA". It matches the Rfam family "Bacterial small subunit ribosomal RNA", at positions 524 to 776 of the family's 1533-position model. The record is from RNAcentral.
UACGUAGGGAGCAAGCGUUGUCCGGAAUCAUUGGGCGUAAAGCGCGCGUAGGCGGCUCUGUAAGUCCGUUGUGAAAGUCAAAGGCUCAACCUUUGAAAGCCGAUGGAUACUGCAGGGCUAGAGUCCGGAAGAGGCGAGUGGAAUUCCUGGUGUAGCGGUGGAAUGCGCAGAUAUCAGGAGGAACACCAAUAGCGAAGGCAGCGCGCUGGGACGGUACUGACGCUAAGGCGCGAAAGCGUGGGGAGCGAACAGG